CCUACGGGGGGCAGCAGUGGGGAAUAUUGGGCAAUGGGCGCAAGCCUGACCCAGCAACGCCGCGUGAAGGAAGAAGGCUUUCGGGUUGUAAACUUCUUUUCUCAGGGACGAAGAAAGUGACGGUACCGGAGGAAUAAGCCACGGCUAACUACGUGCCAGCAGCCGCGGUAAUACGUAGGUGGCAAGCGUUAUCCGGAUUUAUGGGGUGUAAAGGGCGAGUAGGCGGGAGGGCAAGUCAGAUGUGAAAACUCAGGGCUCAACCCUGAGCCUGCAUUUGAAACUGUGUUUCUUGAGUGCUGGAGAGGCAAUCGGAAUUCCGUGUGUAGCGGUGAAAUGCGUAGAUAUACGGAGGAACACCAGUGGCGAAGGCGGAUUGCUGGACAGUAACUGACGCUGAGGCGCGAAAGCGUGGGGAGCAAACAGGAUUAGAUACCCUUGUAGUC
This 443-nucleotide ribosomal RNA is filed under the name uncultured bacterium. RNAcentral's name for it is "partial 16S ribosomal RNA". It matches the Rfam family "Bacterial small subunit ribosomal RNA", at positions 338 to 795 of the family's 1533-position model. The record is from RNAcentral.